RNAcentral lists this ribosomal RNA (468 nucleotides) under uncultured bacterium. RNAcentral's name for it is "partial 16S ribosomal RNA". It matches the Rfam family "Bacterial small subunit ribosomal RNA", at positions 28 to 507 of the family's 1533-position model. The record is from RNAcentral.
GACGAACGCUGGCGGCGUGCUUAACACAUGCAAGUCGAACGGAAAGGCCCUGCUUUUGUGGGGUGCUCGAGUGGCGAACGGGUGGGUAACACGUGAGUAACCUGCCCUUGACUUUGGGGUAACUUCAGGAAACUGGGGCUAAUACCGGAUAGGAGCUCCUGCUGCAUGGUGGGGGUUGGAAAGUUUCGGCGGUUGGGGAUGGACUCGCGGCUUAUCAGCUUGUUGGUGGGGUAGUGGCUUACCAAGGCUUUGACGGGUAGCCGGCCUGAGAGGGUGACCGGCCACAUUGGGACUGAGAUACGGCCCAGACUCCUACGGGAGGCAGCAGUGGGGAAUAUUGCACAAUGGGCGGAAGCCUGAUGCAGCAACGCCGCGUGCGGGAUGACGGCCUUCGGGUUGUAAACCGCUUUCGCCUGUGACGAAGCGUGAGUGACGGUAAUGGGUAAAGAAGCACCGGCUAACUACGUG